CUUUAUAAAUCAAUUUUAGGAGCAAGGAGGCAGGAGAAGCUCAGGUCAGUGUACAUGGCCCAGAGCAUUGCUUCUGCCACUUCCAAGGCAACAGCCUAGGCUGGGGACCCCUCAAUACCCAGCCCUGUGGGCCUUGUGGCACGGGCACUCUGUGCCGUGUAGGGCAUUUGAACAUCAGGAUUCUGGCUUAGGCCACCUGCCCACCCCUCAAACCAUGUUUCCUCCCCAGCGGCUUUUUUCCAGGACUGCAUUUCAGAGCAGGACCUUGACGAGAUGAACAUCGAGAUCAUCCGCAACACCCUCUACAAGGCCUACCUGGAGUCCUUCUACAAGUUCUGCACCCUACUGGGCGGGACUACGGCUGAUGCCAUGUGCCCCAUCCUGGAGUUUGAAGCAGACCGCCGCGCCUUCAUCAUCACCAUCAAUUCUUUCGGCACAGAGCUGUCCAAAGAGGACCGUGCCAAGCUCUUUCCACACUGUGGGCGGCUCUACCCUGAGGGCCUGGCGCAGCUGGCUCGGGCUGACGACUAUGAACAGGUCAAGAACGUGGCCGAUUACUACCCGGAGUACAAGCUGCUCUUCGAGGGUGC
RNAcentral lists this small RNA (590 nucleotides) under Pan troglodytes (chimpanzee). Its description in RNAcentral is "retained intron". The record is from RNAcentral. Lineage: Eukaryota; Metazoa; Chordata; Mammalia; Primates; Hominidae.